This is a small nuclear RNA of Anastrepha obliqua, 206 nucleotides long. RefSeq annotates it as U12 minor spliceosomal RNA. The record is from RefSeq and is a predicted model, not a curated record. NCBI's taxonomy places the organism in Eukaryota, Metazoa, Arthropoda, Insecta, Diptera, Tephritidae. The transcript has a single exon.
GUGCCUAAAACUAACAGUAAGGAAAACCGUCCAACCUUGCUGACUGCUCGGUUGAUUGGCUUCUAGGCAGUAUGGUGAGAGCAUCGCUCUUUUGGGGUGUUCUCAUUUUACGAAGCGCUAAUUUUUGAAUGGGUACAGGUCGUCCCUUUGAACUCAUGCGCUCACUACUUUUCGAGUUGUAGAGUUUGGGUGAAGCGAUCUACCCU